Oncorhynchus keta (chum salmon) is the source of this 2908-nucleotide long non-coding RNA. RefSeq lists it as uncharacterized. The record is from RefSeq and is a predicted model, not a curated record. The transcript is spliced from 2 exons. Lineage: Eukaryota; Metazoa; Chordata; Actinopteri; Salmoniformes; Salmonidae.
AAUUAUCAUUGAAACCGUGUUUGAUUACCACGGUUUGAAAAACUCACGGUAAAUACUGUCCAGCAUCAACCAAAGUUAGCAACAGUCUGACGCACGUGUGAAAACAUGGGAGAUUUUUGCCUUCUAAAAAGACAAUCUGAAGUGUGGUCGUAUUUGGGGUUUUACAAGAGUGCUGAGAGAAACUUAAUCGAAGAUGGUCACCCUGUCUGCAGAACAUGCAAAAAUAAAUAGCUGCGAAAGGGGGCAACACUUCAAAUCUCUUGAGUCAUCUUCGUGACCACAAACCACUACUUAAUAGCGAAUGCAAGAGAGGUGUGCAGCAUGCAAACCCAGUGAUGCUACUGGUCCCUUAUCUACAGUUGUGACACAGGCACUCAGCAAGAAUUUAAAAGGCAGGCUGCUUAUGCACCCACAUCAAAAAAAUGCUCAAGACCUCACUGCAGCCCUUUCAUGUUACAUUGCAAAGGACAUGAUGCCAUUUCAAAUUGUUGAGGCCUGGCUUUCUGAGGCUGAACAUUAUUUUCCAAGACUGAAAUCCCAAACCUGUACAACCAGGUUAAAGCUGAUUUUGGGAAAAGUUUGGCUCAAGGCACAUGGUUUGCUGCAACUACUGACCUCUGGACCAGUGAAAGCAGGGGGUGGUUCAACCAAACAUCAGCUUCACUAUCCAUUACCUCACCCCAGACUGGAACAGGAAUCAAACUGCCUGUAAACACAGUUCUUCCCAGAAUAUCACUCAGCUCACAACAUCAGAGUUUUUUUGAGAAUAUGCUGGAAGGAAGACCUGGUCUGCGUUACCACAGACAAUUCAACAAACAUGAUCAAGGCUUUUGAAGAGUUCUCAGAUCUGUGGCUUGGGUGCUUUGGCCAUCAUUUGAACCUGGCCAUCUCAAAGGCUCUGAAAAUGAAGUCAAGGCCUGCCAUCAUCUGGUCCAAGGCUUCUUACGGAGCUGGAAGAGAAGGAGAGAACUGAGAGAAAAGCAAGCUGUCCUCAACAUGCCACAGAAAGCUCUGAACCAUGAUGUGCUGACCUGAUGGAUCUACACACAAGAUGCUUGAGCGUUUCCUCAGCCAACAGCAGCCAGUCUGUGCGACACUGGCUGGAGAAAGAGGAACAUGGCAUCUGAUGCCCAAGGACGCUGACAUAAGUGUCAUGGAGCAACUGUGCCAGCUACUUGAACCUCUGAAGUUUACAGAUGAACUUGCCUCAGAGACACGAGUGACACUGUCAGCCAUCAAGCCUGUCCUGGACCACAUCACCCGUGAUGUUCUGGUGGAAAAAGAUACGGAGCCAUCCCUGACCAAGGAGAUAAAAAGGGUAAUGAGAGAAGACCUUAACAGAGAAGGCAAAGAGAGUCAUGCACAUGGCUUGUUACAUUGACCCCUAUGUCAAAAGGAGCUUUUUAGAUGAGCCUGAGGCUGCAAAAGUUAACACUGACAGCUGUGUCCAGGAGGCCUUGAAGCUGGCAGCUGCACAAGUCAGGGAAGAACCACACAGCACCAGCAGCACCUCCACCGCCACCCCCACAGAGGUAUUGGAAAGGCUGGGUUGCUGAGAAAGAUUACCUCGCUGGCCAUGGCAGAACACUGACAUUCCUGUCUUGCAGGAUAUCACGCAUAGAACGAGCAGUAUGGCUGGUGGCAUUGCUGGAGGGUCAUGCCAGGAUGAGCCUGCAUGAAGGGUACCACAUGAGGGAGGAGGAUGUCUUCCCUGUAAUGCACAGCGUUGAGAUUACCUGCAAUGACAACAAGCUCAGUCCGAUGAUGCUGUGACGCACUGCCCCAGACCAUGACGGAUCCUCCACCUCCAAAUCAAUCGAACUCCAGAGUACAGGCCUCGGUGUAACGCUAAAUGCGAAUCCAACCAUCACCCCUGGUGAGGAAAAACCGUGACUCGUGAGUGAAGAGCACUUUUUGCCAGUCCUGUCUGGUCCAGCGACGGUGGGUUUGUUCCCAUAGGCGACGUUGUUGCCGGUGAUGUCUGGUGUGGACCUGCCUUACAACAGGCCUACAGGCCCUCAGUCCAGCUUCUCUCAGCCUAUUGCAGACAGUCUGAGCACUGAUGGAGGGAUUGUGCGUUCCUGGUGUAACUCGGGCAGUUGUUGCCAGCCUGUACCUGUCCCGCAGGCAGGUGUGAUGUUCAGAUGUACCGAUCCUGUGCAGGUGUUGUUACACGUGGUCUGCCACUGCGAGGACGAUCAGCUGUCCGUCCUGUCUCCCUGUAGCGCUGUCACCGCAGGUGUGUGUGUGUGUGUCCUGUGUAUCCAGUUUGUGUCCAGUGUGUGUAUGUCCGAUGUGUGUUUUCCACUGUGUCCUGUUUGUAUCCACACACACACACACACACACACACUGGACACACCUCUACAUACUUGAGUUUCCCCAGUCCAGCAGAAAGCAGUCUUGACUCCUGAAUCUUUCAGGUCAUUGUUACUCACAUCCAGCUCUCUCAGGUGUAAGCGAUUUUGAAUUCAGAGCUGAGACCAGAGAAGCACAGCCUUCCUCUGUUACUAGACAGCCUGCAAAGAGUAAAAUCAUAUUAAAACCACACUGACAGUGAAGAUAACAUUUGAAAUUUGACUCUGUACUCCAGCAUUUUGGAUUUCAGAUCAAAUGUUUCAUAUGAGGUGACAGUAGAUAAUGUCACCUUUUUAUUUGAGGGUAUUUCCAUACAUAUCUGUUUCACCGUUUAGAGAUGAAAGCACUUCAUGUAUCUAGUCCCCCUAUUUGAAUAAGUCACACGUAUUCUGACAAAUUCACUUCUAGUGUAUUAAACCUGCACUAGGGAAAAUUUUACCUCAUAGCCACAUGGUUAAUGUUAUUAAUUUAAUGUUAAUGCACACAAAGUGCAUAGUGCUAAUAAUUUAAUUUGAUGGUUGUUGAUUUUCAAUAUUAAACUUGACUAAAUGAU